Molecule: ribosomal RNA, 303 nt
Filed under: uncultured bacterium
Lineage: Bacteria
Description: partial 16S ribosomal RNA
Rfam family: Bacterial small subunit ribosomal RNA
Source: RNAcentral
AGCAGUAGCCGCGGGAAUACGAAGGGGGCUAGCGUUGCUCGGAUUUACUGGGCGUAAAGGGCGCGUAGGCGGACAGUUAAGUUGGGGGUGAAAGCCCGGGGCUCAACCUCGGAAUUGCCUUCAAUACUGGCUGUCUUGAGUGUGAGAGAGGUGUGUGGAACUCCGAGUGUAGAGGUGAAAUUCGUAGAUAUUCGGAAGAACACCAGUGGCGAAGGCGACACACUGGCUCACUACUGACGCUGAGGCGCGAAAGCGUGGGGAGCAAACAGGAUUAGAUACCCCCGUAGUCCCUGUCUCUUAUAC